This 952-nucleotide ribosomal RNA is filed under the name Bacillus sp. (in: firmicutes). RNAcentral describes it as "bacterial SSU rRNA". It matches the Rfam family "Bacterial small subunit ribosomal RNA", at positions 427 to 1372 of the family's 1533-position model. Lineage: Bacteria; Bacillati; Bacillota; Bacilli; Caryophanales; Bacillaceae. The record is from RNAcentral.
AAAGCUCUGUGUUAAGGAAGAACAAGUACCGUUCGAAUAGGGCGGUACCUUGACGGUACCUAACCAGAAAGCCACGGCUAACUACGUGCCAGCAGCCGCGGUAAUACGUAGGUGGCAAGCGUUGUCCGGAAUUAUUGGGCGUAAAGGGCUCGCAGGCGGUUUCUUAAGUCUGAUGUGAAAGCCCCCGGCUCAACCGGGGAGGGUCAUUGGAAACUGGGGAACUUGAGUGCAGAAGAGGAGAGUGGAAUUCCACGUGUAGCGGUGAAAUGCGUAGAGAUGUGGAGGAACACCAGUGGCGAAGGCGACUCUCUGGUCUGUAACUGACGCUGAGGAGCGAAAGCGUGGGGAGCGAACAGGAUUAGAUACCCUGGUAGUCCACGCCGUAAACGAUGAGUGCUAAGUGUUAGGGGGUUUCCGCCCCUUAGUGCUGCAGCUAACGCAUUAAGCACUCCGCCUGGGGAGUACGGUCGCAAGACUGAAACUCAAAGGAAUUGACGGGGGCCCGCACAAGCGGUGGAGCAUGUGGUUUAAUUCGAAGCAACGCGAAGAACCUUACCAGGUCUUGACAUCCUCUGACAAUCCUAGAGAUAGGACGUCCCCUUCGGGGGCAGAGUGACAGGUGGUGCAUGGUUGUCGUCAGCUCGUGUCGUGAGAUGUUGGGUUAAGUCCCGCAACGAGCGCAACCCUUGAUCUUAGUUGCCAGCAUUCAGUUGGGCACUCUAAGGUGACUGCCGGUGACAAACCGGAGGAAGGUGGGGAUGACGUCAAAUCAUCAUGCCCCUUAUGACCUGGGCUACACACGUGCUACAAUGGACAGAACAAAGGGCAGCGAAACCGCGAGGUUAAGCCAAUCCCACAAAUCUGUUCUCAGUUCGGAUCGCAGUCUGCAACUCGACUGCGUGAAGCUGGAAUCGCUAGUAAUCGCGGAUCAGCAUGCCGCGGUGAAUACGUU